UUUUCAUGUACGUUGUAUUAGCUUCAAAAGCUUUACAGACUUCAACAACAAUUGAGUUAAUAGUAACAAAGGAAGCAGGGGAAGAAGGAGAAAUCAGGGGUGGGGAAGGAUUUUUCAGUAAACAAAUCUCUAUGGAGAGAAUGGGUUUGGCAUUGUUUAGCUGUAGACUAAUCUUAAAAGAAAUAUUGGGAACCAUCUGACAAGGAGCCCCUAGCAUAUCCUUGGAUUUUUGACAUUCACCGUGCUACGGUUCCUAAGCUUAAGGGACGCAACAGCCAACUCUCACCUACCGGAGCCAAUCAAAAUGGAUUGCUCUGAAGCUGAGUUGCUUGUGUGAGGAAAGUGUAGGAAGCUCAUGGCUGCAGAGUAAUGCAGGGAAAACAUAAGCAAGAGAGAGAGGGAGAGAGAAGAAAAGAAUCAAGUAGCAGAGGAUAUAAUCAGCCCCAUAAAGGGAAACGUCCAUAACAUCUGCAGCUCUGUUUAUGCUGCUUUGUGUAAUAGGCGCCAGUCCUCUCUGUCCCCGAGGGAGAUUUUACAGCAUUAAUUCACUCUGCACAAUUCGAGCCAGCAAGGCUUCUCUUCAGCAGCCUCCUUUCCCAGCCCUCCACCCCACUCUGCUACAAGGACAGAGAGAGAGAGGCCAUUAGGAACUGCACCCCUCCAGCUGACCUUCCUUUGCCCCUGGCUCAAUGUCUCCAGUUCCCAAUGAGGCAGAUCCAGAAGUGCCCCGAAUGGACCCGAGGAUUUUAAUUUUCCUUCUGUAUGUAAUGAUCCUCCACGAGCUAGUCAGUGGCUGGAUGGAGUAUCAGAAGCAGGUAACCAAACCUAAGAAGCAAGCAGGUCCUGUUUGGUCCUCAAGCAACAAUUCUUCCAGAACAAACCAUUCUGGCUUCUCCAGGCCGUUGGUGCACUCUGUGCGGAGAGAGCGAUACAGGGACUGGAGGAAGCCAGGCCGAAUCAUCAGGAAGGUAUGAGUCUGCCUCACUAGUCCUUCGGGAAGCUUGGCCUGGGAUACCUACUGAUCCAGAAGCAUGCUGUCCCGUGAGGUCAGCACUCCAAAUGCUGCCUUGUUAUCUCGCAGUAGCCAACAUGAGAACAACAUCUAGGCACCGUGAUCAACCAUUCUGUUCCUGAGACUGACCCAGCUUUGUACAGAGACUUCUGAGCCCGUUACAGCUGAAGAGAAAAGAAUACCUUCUUCUUAGGAUCCAAGUGCUGCUCACCAGUGAUGAGAGAUCGGGGAACAAAUGCAUCACAGCUGGCGGCAGAAACCAGCCAGAGGUGGGGUGAGAUUUCUGGUUGCCAUACUGCAAAGAGAAGAACAAGUCCACCCUUUAUUUUUUUGAUUGUAGAUUUCCAGGAGGUGACUGUUCAGAUAGCUAGAUUAGUUCAGAUGGAUCUAGAGAGUGAAACCUAUUGGAAGCAGCUUUUGACUGAACACACAGAGGGUGGUGAGAGUGUUGCUCUUUUACUGGAGUCUGCAUUUUAAGCAGUGAUAUCAUAUUGUAGAGGCAAAGCAUCUGUUUUCACAUCCUGUAGAGUCAAAUGAAGAAUCUCUUGGAGGGAUUGUCUUAAUGAGCUAUUCAGCUGUAUUCAAAAUAAAAACAGCUAGCUGCCUUAGUUGUUUAAAAUAAUAUUUGGCAUCAACUUAGCCCCUUUUCCAAUUUGCAACUCACCUCUAGACAUGAUAGAUGCCCACAGAUUCAUUAUGCAGAAGUAUUCACUAGUAUGUGUUAACAGUGUUCAGUCAGUUGAUUAUUUGUAAAUGGUUCACUUUCAUGAUGUUACCCAAGUCAUAUGGUGCUUGAUAUUACUAAAAGUAGAGAACCCAAACCACAAGUAGCAAAUAACUCACUCUCUGAUAUAAAUUCUCAGUGAAUAACCUUUACUGCUGAAAUGCUUGACAUUCUGAAAUGUUUGAAAUGUUAGGUAUUCUUAGAAUUGUGGCCUUUUUCACAAAUUCCUGGUGGCUGACCAAAUACUCAUGACUGAUAAAUAACAACCUCUUGAAUAACAGAAAACCAAAUACACUGUCCUUUUGUGAAAAGACACUAGUUUUACUAUUUAACCACUUCUAGUUCUGAGGGGGAAACAUGCAGUCAGAUUGUUUUUUUCCCCACUGUCCAGGAUUUGCUGCUCGUCCUUUUUUCAGCUACUCUUGAUGGGAAUUUAAUUAGUGAAAAUGUAUGUAAAAUAAGUUUUACUUAAUUGUUUGUGCAAUGCAUGGUGGGACUGAGCCUGGCUGCAAAAGCCAAGAACCUCAAAUCAGUUGAGACAAAGUAGUUCUGG
This is a long non-coding RNA of Gavialis gangeticus (Gharial), 2289 nucleotides long. RefSeq lists it as uncharacterized. The record is from RefSeq and is a predicted model, not a curated record. NCBI's taxonomy places the organism in Eukaryota, Metazoa, Chordata, Crocodylia, Gavialidae. The transcript is spliced from 2 exons.